Cavia porcellus (domestic guinea pig) is the source of this 299-nucleotide unclassified non-coding RNA. Its record names the gene 7SK. It matches the Rfam family "7SK RNA". From Rfam's summary of the family: 7SK was discovered as an abundant small nuclear RNA in the mid-70s but a possible function has only recently been suggested. Two independent studies have found that 7SK RNA binds the CDK9/cyclin T complex (known as elongation factor P-TEFb). The record is from Ensembl. Lineage: Eukaryota; Metazoa; Chordata; Mammalia; Rodentia; Caviidae.
AGGACUAUCUGCCUGCAAUAUCUGUCACCCUAUUGAUCACCAGGGUUGAUUCUGCUGAUCUGGCUGACUAGGUAGGUGUUCCCUUUCUCCCUAUGUGUAUCCCUCCCAAAAUAAUGCACGCAGUUGAGAAGGAGGCCCAUCCCCGUUAGAAGAAGACCAUUUCCUCUGGCAAAGGUAUGUGAGUAGCUAUGCUCCCUGCUAGAACCUCCAAAUAAGCUCUCUGCUAUAGGUGGUACAUUGGUGGUAGGUAGUCUUUGAGAAGUGCAGCUUCUUUAUCAGAACAACAUUGUCUUACCAAA